UACGAGUGCCUCGAGCGUUAUCCGGAAUCAUUGGGCGUAAAGGGUGCGUAGGCGGCUAUGUUAGUCUCGCGUUAAAUCUUUCGGCUCAACCGAGAGUCCGCGUGGGAAACGGCAUAGCUUGAGGACGGGAGAGGUCUCUGGAACUCAUGGUGUAGCGGUGAAAUGCGUUGAUAUCAUGGGGAACACCAAAAGCGAAGGCAAGAGACUGGCCCGCUCCUGACGCUGAAGCACGAAAGCGUGGGUCGCGAAUGGG
This 253-nucleotide ribosomal RNA is filed under the name uncultured bacterium. RNAcentral describes it as "partial 16S ribosomal RNA". It matches the Rfam family "Bacterial small subunit ribosomal RNA", at positions 524 to 776 of the family's 1533-position model. The record is from RNAcentral.